UAUGUAUCAUUUGGAAGUUUAGCCAAAUUAGAAGGUGAUCAAAUGGAAGAAUUGGCAUGGGGUUUGAAGAAUAGCAACAACAACUUCUUGUGGGUUGUUAGGUCUACUGAAGAAUCCAAACUUCCCAAGGACUUUUUAGAGGUGUUGACACCCAAUUUUGGCCUAAUAUUUUCAAAAUUCGUAACUUUUAAGUUUUAUUUAUUUAAUAGUUCAAAAUAGAUUUUUUUUAAAAUUUUAAAUAAGUUUACCGAUAACUAUCAUUCUUUAUCAAAAUUUAGGAUUUUUUUUUACUUAGUUAAUUUUAAAAUUACAUUUUUUCAUGUCAUUAGGUACGUUUAUUAUGUAUAUAUUUUUUUAAUAUUGAUUUUAUUAGUUAUAUUUGUUAAUAUUCAUUUUGAUAUUCUGCACAAUUUAGAAAUUCGUUCAAAUAUAGAUAAAUUUUCGUAUACGACUAUUUUAUUAACUAGUGGUUUCGGCCCAUAAUUUUUAGAUAAGGAUAUUGUACAAUAGAAGGUUUUUAGUUUUUCUAUUUAAUUCAUUUCUUAGUCUUUAAAAGGGGGGUUGAAUUAUUUUUUAGGGGGGAAGAAUUUUCUAAAUGUCAAAACACUAAAUUUAUUUUCCUCCUUAGCCGCCAACACCCAAAUCCCUCACUCUAUUUUCCUCUUCCCCAAAGCCAACUGAAGCAGCCAUCAAACAACCUCUUCUCCCUCACCACAAACCACCAUCGCUCCACCCACCAAGCUCCAAACACAACCAACCACCACCGUCUGAAAACAACCAACAACCAUCUCCGAGAACAGCCAGCAGCUCCAGCGAAGGCAGCGCCGACCAGCAGCUCCUCCACUCCUCCCGUCUCUGCACCGCAAGCAAUAGCAGGCAGCAGCCUCACGAAACUCCGACGAGGACUCCGCCAACAACUCAAAUCCCACAAGCACGAGUUCGAGUUCCGGUGAGCUCGGAGCUUUUGUGCCAACAACAACAUCGCCAUCUCCAGAUCUGCUCAGAAAAGUAACAACCCUGUGACCUCCUUUUAAUUUUACGUUUUUUCUUAUAUCUACUGCUUAUGAAUAUUGACUUGAAUUUUAUUGUUUUUAUCUAGAGUAUGACUACUGUUGGUUACUUUAUUUUAUUUGUAGAUAAAUAUUGGUGUUAUUUGUAUAUAAAUAUUAGAGUUAGAUCAGUUAAUAGUGGCUUGUUUCCUUUCAAUUCCUAUUAAGUGACACAUGUGUUAGCUUUAAUAAUAAACUAAAUAAUAUGAUAUAUGACCUUCUUACUUUUUCAUUUCAUAUUGUUAUGAUCUUUAUUUAGUCUUUCAGUUUAAAUGUUUGGUAAUUAGCAAAAUUUAAGUUAAUUCGGUUAUCUAUGUCUAUCUUAACUUUGUUUGGUCAUAUCUAUCAUAGUCUAACUUCAUUUAUUUCUUGCCUUUGUUUUGACUAUUAUAUAAGUUAGUUAUUGUUUUAAAUUUCUCAUUAUUUGUUCAUUAUUGUUUGGAUCGUUAUUAAUGUUAUUUCUUUCAUUAUGUGUUCAUGUUUAUUUGAAAACUUGUUUCUAACAAAUUUUACAUUUUUGUCUACUUUUGAAGUUAUUUGUUCCAAGUAGUAUUGUUACUUGUGAACUAACAUAGCAUAUAUUUGAAUGUUGUCCUAGUUUGCAUUUUCUAGUUACCAACUUUAUCUACCAUUGUCUUGUUCUACCACUGUCUUGUUGAUUAUCCUCCAUUUGUUUAGGUUAUUUUUUUUAUUAUUAUUUUUAUCGUUUUGGUCUUUGGCCAAUGAAAAAAUCUCUCCGUCGAUUUUGGAGGCCUUUACAUUGUAAAAGACGGAAAUUUAGUUUAAUUUCAUAUAUUUUAUUUGUUAAAAUGGCCGACGAAGAAAUUACCGUCAAUUUCCAAGGCCUCCCAUGUCAAUAAGACGGAUUUUUUAUUUUGAAUUUAUUAUUUAAUUUAUUUAUUUUUAUAAGUAUUUAUCUACCACUAACAUUUUUACUAAGUGUCUUUACAGGUACUCGGAGCUGCUUCCCAUUGAGACUAUUAGAACAAAGUUCGAACAAUAUUUUUGAUUUAUUAUUGUGCAUAUUAUUGAUGUUAAGCAAAUCUAGCUUUUUUUUUCUUAUUAUUAUUUAUUUGUUUAUUAUAUUUUUAUAUUUGAUUUUAUCUCCUCCUCAAAUUUGAAAAAGUGAAUUCAGUCGGGAACCACAUUUGUGGAUUUCGAAGAAUGCUUAAUACCUUCCCUUCGAAAUCACUUGAACCCCUUACCUAGAAUCUAAUGGUUUCGUAGAUCACUUUAAUUGGUUUCCUAGUUUUUCCUAAAAUUAGGUGGCGAUUCUUUUAAAAUUCUUAUUUUCCUUAGAAUUCUUUUAAAAUUGAAUUAAUUGAUUAUUUUUUAAGUAAUCGCGACGUUCCGCUCUAUUUGAAUAGAGUAGGAAUGUAAACAGAAUGGCGAUUCUGCUGGGGAUAUAGAGGUUCUGACCAUUAUGAGUUCACUUUUUCAAAUUGAGGAGUUAUUAUUUUAUUGUGUUAUUCAUUAUAUCUUUUAUAUUUUAUGAAUCAAUAAGGUGUUUUCUGACACACUGUGGGUGGAAUUCGACUCUGGAAGCAAUUAGUUUGGGAGUGCCAAUGGUGGCAAUGCCACAAUGGAUAGAUCAACCAACAAAUGCAAAAUUUGUGAAGGAUGUUUGGAAAAUAGGUGUUAGAGCAAAACUAGAUGAAAAAGGGAUAGUUAGAAGAGAAGUUAUUGAAGAAUGUAUAAAAUUAGUGAUGGAAGAAGAGAAAGGGAAAUUGAUUAGGGAAAAUGCAAAGAAAUGGAAGGAAAUAGCUAGAAAUGUUGUGGAUGAAGGAGGAAGUUCAGAUAAAAAUAUUGAAGAAUUUGUUUCCAAGUUGGUCACUAUAUCCUAAGUACGAAAUUAUAUAAGUCAUAAGAAAUAAUUAAUAAGUUGAUUUCUGUUUUGCAAUAAUUAGGGCUUAAUUAUGUAUUUUCCCGUGAAUUUACAAAAUUACUGUUCGUGUCAAAUUUCAAUUCUCAAAUACAUGUAUCUGGCACAUCCAAAUAUAUAUAUAUAUAUAUAUGUAUCUCGAAUAGAUGCAGUCAAAAUUAGAUAUAAUUUAUUUCAGAUACAUUAAAUAUACGGAAAAGGACCUAAAAUACCCUCAUCUUUAAUUAGCAAAUUAAUUAAAAAAUCAUAUACCCACCUCGUAAACCUACCCAAAUAUUCUAACCCAACUUCAUCCCCAAACCUUUUAACCUAUUGUUGAGAAACCUCAACAGAUUUUACAGCCAUAAUUGGUGGAAAGUAGCUGUAAUUCAAUUUGGGGUUCUUCAAAGUAUCUAAAUAAACUUCUUUUACCUACCAUUACUCCUCUGUACCAUACGCUCCAAAUCCAAAUCUCCGAUAUCAAAGCUCACAUUAUUCUAAUCUGUUCAUGGCCAUUGCGUCCCUGGCUUAUCUAUUCAACAGUAAUAUCAACUACUGACUGCUGGAAUAUGUCUGCUCAACACAAGUCCAACAGGUUCAGUUUGGUACCAUAAAACAAUUGUGAGCUUUGAUAGAACAAGUAGAGAGGACAUUUGGAUUUGGAGCGUAUGCGUUUUUUAGGUUAAAAGGUUUGCAGAUGAAGGUUGGGUUAGAAUAUUUGGGGGUAAGUUUACGGGUGGGUAUAUUGUUUUUUUUUAAUUAGUUUAAUUAAUAGUUAGGGUAGCCAAUAGUAUAGUGACACGUUAUUAAUGAAUUUGUUAAUUGAGGUUAUCAUUUAGGUUGUUAAAAAUGAGGGGAAAAUAUAACCAAAAGGUUGACGUCAAGGGCAUUUUAGGCACGAAAAGUAGAAAAAGGGUAAUUUUGUACUAAUUCACAUAGUUGAAGGGUAUUUUAGGCCAUCUUCCAUUAAAUAUGAGUGAAUUCAUAUGUGUGUGUGAUACACUGACUCUCUCACUCAUCUAUCUCCAAUCUUGCUUGCUUCUCUCCCUCUCUCACUUGCUUCCUCCUUAUAUAUAUUUGUAUUUCAGAAUGUAUCACAAAUGCACACUACAACAAAAAUAAUUUUUAGCGGCAAUAAAUAGACAUAUUAAUAAAGAGUGCUAAAGUCUUUACUGACAUUAGUUAAGUGUCAUUAGAUCUAAUGUCACUAAAGGCUUUAGGGACAUAUACAAAGAGUGCUAAUUGCCGCUAAAAAUACAUAUUUAGCGGCAAUUGAGCUAUUGCCGUUAAUUAAUUGCCGAUGAAGAUCAUUCUUGAUAUAGUGGCACUUGGUAUCCCAGAUAUAUGUAUUUAGUGUAAUUUACAUGUAUUUGGGAUACACUAACACUCUCGCUCGCCUCCCUCCUAUCUCGCUCGCCUUUCUCCCUCUCUCGUUCGCCUCCCCCCUAUGUAUUUGUGUUUUAGAGUGUAUUUAGUAGCAAAAAUUCAUAUAUCUUGAUGUAUCUGACUUGAAAUUUGUUAUGAAAUUACAAGUAUGACUACGGUUGAAUAAUGGUAUAUACAUUGAUUACUGAUAUGUAAACGAUAUACACAAUAUAUAUAUAUACCAAUAUAUUGUGAUUUGUGAAUAUCACUCCACAUACAAAUUGUAGUAAAUAUUUUUUUUCCUUUUAAAGAUAAAUUAUUAUAUACUACUCCUAAAUAUAAAGUCAAAACGAGAACCUUAAAGUCUUUCUUGUACACGUUCCCCUACAUUGAGCACACUACAUUAGACACUAGAUUUGUUUAACUUUUAAUAAUUUACUCUUUCUUAUAUGAAAAGUUUAUAUUUUUUACUAUAAACUCAAUAUUUCUUUUAAAAAAAUAUCUAUAACUUAUUAUUGCUUUAAAAAAGUCUCCGGGCCUAAGGCUACUAUUUAUUUUAAGGUUUGUAGAGUCGUCCUACUACAUCUCAUAGUAUUUGUGUAAAUGAUAUAUAAACACUUUCAAAAUAAUAAUUUUUACUUACGUAUCAAAUUAUUUUUUUACAAAACUCAAUUUUUACUAAAAAUUAUUUUACAAAGAAAAUAUUUUUCAAGCCAUCCAAAAUAUAUCUCGAGCUAGAACUAUUUUUCGAUAAUUUAACACCACACAAUAAAUUGUUUGUAUUUCAAAGAAAAUGACCCCAAUAAUUGGUACAACAAACUUAAUUUGGCAAUAUGGACCAUAUUCAUAGGUACUAAUAGACACAUUUUGAAUUACUUAUCAUAAUUCAUUUCUCGAGAAAGUUAAAUUACAUAAAUUUUGAUUAAUUUCUAUGAUAUAUUUUUUCCUGAAAUUAAUAUAAAAAAUUGUAUAACUUAUAGACUAUAGUAUAAGAACCACAUUUUCACCAUAGGAUUUUCUCAUCCUUCAACUAAUAAAAUAAUUGUCUGAGAUAAUUACUAAGUAUUAGUUAAGAGAUCAUUUGCGAAAUCUAACUCCUUUUAGACCAUCAAUUGAGAAGUUGCAAAAGAUGAGUACUAGUCACAAAACUCACUGUUUGAUUUUGCCAUAUCCAGUCCAAGGUCAUAUCAACCCAAUGCUCCAAUUCUCCAAACGUUUACAAUCCAAACGUGUUGAAAUCAUUAUAGCAACCACAAAAUACUUGUUGAAAAACAUGAAAGAAUUGCCAACUUCUGUGUCAAUCGAGGCCAUAUCCGAUGGCUAUGAUGAUGGUGGUCGCGAUCAAGCAGGAUCUUUCGUGGCCUAUGUUACACGAUUCAAAGAAGUUGGCUCGGAUACUCUGUCUCAGCUUAUACAAAAAUUGGCAAAUAGUGGAUGUCCUGUAAAUUGCAUAGUAUAUGAUCCAUACCUUAAUUGGGCUGUUGAAGUGGCAACAAAAUUUGGAUUAGUUAGUGCUGCAUUUUUCACACAAAAUUGUGCAGUGGAUAACAUUUAUUAUCAUGUACAUAAAGGGGUAAUAAAAUUUCCACCUACUCAAAAUGAUAAAGAAAUCAUAAUUCCUGGAUUUUCAUGUCCAAUUGAGGCAUCAGAUGUACCUUCUUUUGUUUUUAGGCCUGAAGCAGAAAGAAUAAUUGAAAUGAUGGUAAAUCAAUUCUCAAAUCUUGACAAAGUUGAUUGGGUUCUAAUCAACAGCUUCUAUGAGUUGGAGAAAGAGGUAACAUAUUUAUAUAGAUGUUUAAUCGAAGUUAUACAAAAAAUGAACUGACAAAAUCAUCUCUUUAAAAAAAUAAAAUCAAGAGAUUCAAGAUACAUCUUAUUUUGUUUUUAUUGUUUGUCAUGUAGGUAAUUGAUUGGAUGUCCAAGAUAUAUCCAAUAAAGACAAUUGGACCAACAAUACCAUCAAUGUACUUAGACAAGAGACUACAUGAUGACAAAGAGUAUGGUCUUAGUAUCUUCAAGCCAAUGACAAAUGAAUGCCUAAAUUGGUUAAAUCAUCAACCAAUUAGCUCAGUGGUGUAUGUAUCAUUUGGAAGUUUAGCCAAAUUAGAAGCUAAGCAAAUGGAAGAAUUAGCAUGGGGUUUGAAGAAUAGCAACAACAACUUCUUGUGGGUUGUUAGGUCCACUGAAGAAUCCAAACUUACCAAGACCUUUAUAGAGGAAUUAACAAUUGAAAAAGGACUAGUGGUGUCAUGGUGUCCACAAUUACAAGUGUUGGAACAUGAAUCAACAGGGUGUUUUCUGACACACUGUGGGUGGAAUUCGACUCUGGAAGCAAUUAGUUUGGG
RNAcentral lists this long non-coding RNA (6620 nucleotides) under Solanum tuberosum (potato). RNAcentral describes it as "long non-coding RNA (STUB_LNC007826)". The record is from RNAcentral. Lineage: Eukaryota; Viridiplantae; Streptophyta; Magnoliopsida; Solanales; Solanaceae.